UGAUAAAUAGAGCCAUCCUGAACUUUGACCUUUCCACAGAAAUGAAAUGAAGCUGCGGUUGUUGUAAUUUCAGCAUCUCAAUGUAUCCAUGUGAAGCUUGGGAUGUAAUGUACCAGCAGGGAGGUUAUAUCUGUGGAUAAACACUUUCACUCUUUUGCACGUGACUCGCCUGUGUCAGUUUCUGGGUUCGCUGGGGAGCAGGUUGUACUGCCCUGUAUCUACAAAGGGAAAAUCCCAGUCUCUGAUUUACUGGUCAUCUGGGGGAGACGCAAGACGGAAAUUGUACACAAGUUUGUCUAUGGAAACGAUAAUUUGAGAGAACAAGAUACACAGUUCAUAAACAGAACAAACCUGUUCAAAGAUCAGCUGGAAAAAGGCAACUGGUCAGUUCUGAUCUCUGACCUCAGGGAGACAGACCAGGAUGAGUAUCAGUGCCAGAUUUUCUGGAACACGACUGUAGGUGUAUAUUGGGAGCAAACUGAAAUUGUUCAUCUCUCAGUAAAAGAGCGAGCUCCUACAGCUGGACCAAACACAACUGUACCAGGUAAAUCUGUGUGUAAAAUAUUGCUGUGUUUUCAUAUCUUACAUUUGAUCAUGCGGGAUAAACAGGGAGCGACAUUGGUGGUUUGCAAUGCUGUGUGGUAUUGUAUGAAAGAAUGAGUCUGCUAAAGUGAGUGAUGUGGGUCACUGUUACCUGGAACUGGCCCUUGGAAUUUGUUAUUAAGUUGUUGAGAGACCCCUUCCUGUCCAUCAGAUUGAUUGUAUUUUGGUACAUGUGACAAUAAAUCAGUGAAAAGCUUUGUUUACAUGUAGUACAGGCAGAUCACAGCAUGCAAGGGAUGUACAGAGCAAAUAGAGGCAUGCAGGUUACAUUGCAGGUUCCAUUGGCUGAGGUGAGAAGACAUUCAACAGUCUGAUAACAGCCAGAGUGAAGCUGCUCCUGAACAUGUUCGUACAUGCUUUCAGGCUUCUGUAUCUUCUGCCUGAUGGAAGAGGUUAUGGAAGGUCAUUACCCGGGUGUGAUGAGUCUUUGAUGAUGUUGGCUGCCUUUCUGUGGCAGUGAGCUGUGUGAGUAGAGUCCGCGGAUGGCAGGUCGGCUUCUGUGAUGGUCUGGGCUGUGCACACAGCCUUCUGUAGUUUCUCACAGUCCUGGGCAGAAGAGUUACCGUACCAGGCCGUUAUACACCCGGACGGAGCACUUUCAAUGGUGCAUCUAUGGAGGCUGGUGAGGGACCUUGUCAAUAUGCCAAUUUCCUGAGCCGCCUGAGCGAGAAGUGGCAUUGCCGUGUCUCCUUGACUGUCACGUCUACGUGGCAAGUCCAGGACAGGUUGUCCGUUAUUGUCAUUUCAAGGAACAUCAUGCUCUUCAUCCUCUCCACCUCAGUUCCAUCGAAAUAGAUGGAGGCAUGUUCUCCUCCAUUCUUCCUGAAGUCAAUGAUCAAUUCUUUAGUUUUGCAGCGGUUGGGAGACAGACUGUUUUUAUUGCAGCACAUGGCCAAGCCCUCCAACUCCAUUCUGUUGUUAGAUAGCCAUCCCACCAUGCUGAAGUCAGCAGUGAACUUGCAGAUGGUGUUCAUUCGGAAUUUGGCAACACAGUCAUAGCUGUACAUGCAAUACAGUAGGGGCCUGAAGACACUUGUUUGGGGGUGUCCAGUGUUGGUCAUGUUACUAGACAACAGUCCAGAGACCUGGACUAAUAAUCCAGUGAAUGAGAAUUCAAAUCCCAUCAUGGGACUCAGAUACAGGACUCUGAGGAUCCCUGCUUCCCACUGACAUUAGUGUUUCUGGAAUUCUGUGUGGAGAGUCUCAGUACACUUUGAAUGCAACCCUGCUGUUGGGAAACUGAUGGAAAGUGAAGUCAGUGGAGAGUAACAGUGAUCCAGGUGUAAGCUGCCCUUCCGCUCCCCCAACCCCAGUCCCAGAGAGAAAGGGAAUUUUCUCAUCUUAUUGAGAUUUACUUGGUUCCAUGAGUAUGCUGUUUCCAGUUUGAGAAAACAAUGAAGCGUCUAGAUCCAAAAUGUCAGCUUUUCUGCUCCUCCGAUGCUGCUUGGCCUGCUGCGUUCAUCCAGCUCCACACCUUGUUAUCUCAGAUUCUCCAACAUCUGCAGUUCCUAUUAUCCCUCACCUGCUGGAUAAAGUUGUUUCUGCGAGCUGCCUGUUCCUCAGAGGGAGGAUGAUGCUCGCACUGAGACCCUGUGUGGGAAGCAUCAAUGUGGGGAAUCUUAACUUUUUCACAGCAGCUGCCACAUGUUUUUUUCUUGAUCAGGACACUAGGUCUGAAGAAGGGGUUUACAGGUUGAUAAUCAACCUGUUUGGCCAGCUAAGGCACACGUUCUGUCAUGGUGAAGUCCUUAAACCUGGAGGUAGUGACCCCAAACAAGGACGCAGCCGCUGUGCCACACGUCCUCCCUCUUUACACUGCAUCAAAGCAAGAUUUACAUACUUUCAUUGAUCCUCUCAUUUUGUGAAUCUUACACAAUCUUAGAAUUUCCUGAAUGUUGAACUUAUUUUAACAUUUUACAUUUGGGAUAAUUUAUCUGCAAUUAUAUUAUCUUUCCCAGAAAUAUGAAAAUGAUCCUUCACAACCCACAAACCCUCAACUAAAAGGUUCUUCAGAAUCUCGUGUGGGUAUCGUGAUUACAUGCUGAAAUAUUCUUACUUCCUGACAUGUCUAUGUUUUACAGAACUGCACUAUGUCUUUAUGAAGCCCUGACCCAUAUAAAAUACCUGUUUAUUGACGCCUGUGUUUUCAAUAUUCUCAUAUCUCCUGCUAUUGGACUUUCACAUGCGAUUCACAAAGUUUCUUCACAAUAUCUGGACAGUACCAGUUUUGAUGAACAAUCAUCUAUUUGUCAUUCACUGGUUAAUGAGGAUGUCUCCACUUCCUCAUCAGAACUUUUUUAAAAAUAUAAUGACAGUCUGGAACUCCGGCAGACGGAGCCUCAGCCUGAGCUGUCUGUGCUAUCGCUCUCGAAUUUGGCUCUGCUUCCUGAUUCUCAGUUAAUGAAGACAUGCCAAACGCUUCCUUUGAAUUAUCUUUAUUCUUAAAUGGAGCUUCAGUGACCCUAGAAUCUGUUUGCAGUAUUACUGUGACCUCUGGGCUGGACUUUCUUUAUCAAUUGAUCUGGUCAUGCUACAGGAUGGAAGAAUAUUGGGACCUGUUCCUCUAACUGUUCUGUCAUUUAAGCUUCAGCUGGACUUUCUGUGAUAAUUAGCAAAGUUGAAACUUUUGCAUCUGUCAGAUCAUUCCCCAGAAGUAAAAGAAUUCCAUCUACAGGUCAUUUCUUAACUGUCCUGACUACCAUGAGCGCAGUCAACCCAAGCUAUGCUUCAGUUGGACUUUGGAGAAAGCAAACUGGAAUAUCCUCUCCAUCUAUUCCAUUUCCCAACACGGUGGCUUUCAUUGAAAUCUCUGAAUGGAAAAUUAAAUCCUACUCCCUCAAGAGAGUUUGAGUAGCCCUUGUAUCUCUGAGAAUAGUUAUCAACUUGGAUUCUUCCUUUGAAGAAAAUGGCCCGUGCACAAAAAUCCUUCGUAUUUCUCAUCUAUGCUAUGAAUUUUUGUGACAUUCACGGCAGAGUCUACCUCUAAUUUUAAUUCGAGCUACAACCUGAUUUCUUUCUUUUUCAGACUCAUUCUUACAAACUCCAAUCCGUCCUAUCUGUUUCCAGUUGAACCUCCAGCAUUCUGAAUGCAAGUGUCCCACCUUGGUACCGUGGAAACACCAUUGGCUUCUGACUUUCACUUCCACCCUCGGUACUUUCCCUUUUGAUCUGAGGAGGACACCGUGAAGCGUUCCCAGUUAUCCUUUCCUUAUCUCUUGCCUUCUUUUCACUCUCCCACUUUCCAUCCCUUUUGAAUUCGGAGAGUGGUGGAAAACAAUUCCCAGAGACACAGAACGAAUGAGACAAAAGAUUGUGCCGUUGUUCGCCGCAGAAGCUGCCCAUUCUCUGAGCUUGUAAAAAGUUCAGUUGCAACUUGCAGGAAACUAAUUACGAAAGACGCCUGAACUGACUUUCCAGCUUUCUCCACUCACGCGAGUAAUCUAUUUUCUCUGUUUGUUUGUGCGUAUGUCUGUGCGUAAAGGAGGUGUGUAUCAGAGGAUUAUAAUUAUGAUUGUGUUCAGUGCGAUUGGUUUAUAUCUGUUUAUCUGCAGCUAUAUUCUCAUCCUUGGAGAGCAGGUUGUACUGCCCUGUAUCUACAAAGGGAAAAUCCCAGUCUCUGAUUUACUGGUCAUCUGGAGGAGACGCAAGACGGAAAUUGUACACAAGUUUGUCUAUGGAAACGAUAAUUUGAGAGAACAAGAUACACAGUUCAUAAACAGAACAAACCUGUUCAAAGAUCAGCUGGAAAAAGGCAACUGGUCAGUUCUGAUCUCUGACCUUCAGAAGACAGACCAGGAUGAGUAUCACUGUCAGAUUUUCUGCACGACUGUAGGUGUAUAUUGGGAGCAAACUGAAAUUGUUCAUCUCUCAGUAAAAGGUGAGAGGUUUCUGUUUUAGGUAUUGUGUAUUUAAUCUCUGAUGCUACGGGGAUAGCAGUGAAGGGGUUAUGAGAAAUGUGAAGACUUGGACUAAUAAUCCAGAGAAUAAAAAUUCACAUCCCACCAUGGGACUUCCAGGGUUUAAAUUCAGGGUAUUAAAUAAAAAUCUGAAAAGAGAAAGAAGAAAAGUGACAGUGAAGAUGUUGAAUUGUUGUGAAACUAAUCACUGAUGACCCUUUAGGUAAGAACACUCCCAGCGUAUGUUGCUGGAUUACUGAUUAUUGUCCAAGAUUCUAUAGACUCUGAAAGAGCUCCUAUGGAUUAGAGGGUAGCUAAUGUAACCAUACAAUUUUUAAAAAGAGCAGGGAGAGAGAAAACAGGGAAAUAUAGACCGGUUAGCUUGGCAUCUGUGGGGUACCAAAUGGCUUCAGUGCUUGAAUCCCAUGUAUGCACACAAUAUAUGAAUGAUUUAGAUGAGGGUUUUAAGUUAAUGUCUCAAAGGUUGCCGACAACACAAAGCUGGGUGGGAAGAUGAACUGUGAGGAGGAUGCAGAGAUGCUUCAGUGUGAUUUGGAUAAGUUGAGUGAGUGGGAAAAUGCUUGGCAGAUGCAGAUAAUUUGGAUAAAUGUGAGGUCAUUCGCUUUGGAACCAAAAGCAGGGGGGCAGAUAAUUAUCUGAACAGUGAUAGAUUGGGAAAGGGGGAGGCGCAACAAGACCUGGGUGUCCCUAUACACCAGUUUCUGAAGUUAAGCAUAGCAGGUGGUGAAGAAGACAAAUGGUACGUUGGCCUUCAUAGUGACAGGAAUUGCGUACAGGAGUGGAGAUGCCUUGCUACAAUUGUACAAGAUCUUAGUGAGACCAUCCCUGAACUGGAAGAUCAGUGAUGAUCAUAUUGAGUGGUGGAACAGGCUUGAAGGGCUGAAUGGCCUACUCCUGCUCCUCUGUUCUGCGUUUCAAUGUUUUGGUAUAAAACCCUGGUGCCCUUACUUGGUCUGUGUGACUCCAGUCUGACAUUAACCAUGCUCUGAUUUAUUCAGAGCUUCAAUCAGUUUUAAACCACGAGAGAGAAAACAAAACAGAACAUAACUGAACAGACUCCAAGUCUAAUUCAGGCCAAACUAAAGACAGACCAAUAUGUCAUAUAACUGUAUGUGCCAUAACCUACACUUCCUUCCCAGAAACAUGGCGUUUCUGUUUCCAGAGGUUGGGGUGCAGGACGUGGGACCCACAGAACCCCCGAUGCAGCCUUUACAAGGCUCUGAAGACUGAGCUUGAAAGUGUCUCCCUUUUGGUCCAGGAUCCUGUGAGAAUUGUCCCCACAGGGGGAUGAAAGCUGCUGGGAAUGAUCCUGCUCAGGGAAACCCUGGAAAACUUCCAUUCUACAGAUAACACAAUCUUGUUGGAAUUUUCACUCCCAUUCUGUCCUUGAUCCCUCCUGAUCAGUUUGACCCAAUCCUCAUUCCUCCUUGGAUGUGUUUCCCUAAAGCCCGAUAGAAUCUCUGAACAUUUCUGCAGUUUGUUUCACACACUGUACCAAACGCAUGUUGUUUUCUUUAGAGCGAGCUCCUACAGCUGGACCAAACACAACUGUACCAGGUCCUGGACACUCCACUAGAACAAGAGUUGGAUUGGGAAUUGGGAUUGCUGCUGUUGCAGUUGCAGUUGCAAUUGUGGUUUAUAACAUUCAAUAGCGAAAAUGUUGAUGCUGCCACUCCUGCUGAACUUUUCCAGCAGCUUUACUUUUGUUCCACUGCACUGAGCCUGGCUCAGGGAGGAGGGAAUCAGCCCAGUAUUGUGGGGAUCAAGUAGCUCCUGGUGGAAAGAGGUGCACAAUCUCAGAAGGGAAAUUCCCAGUGGAUGUUUUAUCCCUUUACUGGAAAAACUGUCCAAGUAUUUCAUUCUGCAUUAUCGCUCAGUGUUACUGUUACAAGCUGGGUGUCCAAACACAGGUUUGGGGUUCCUUUUAACAUUGUAAGCUGAGCUUUCUAACUCCAACGUGAAUUGUCAGAUUUUUUUCAGGCAGUUUCCUUAUUUACUUCUUAAGUUACAACUCAUGAACUUGUUCUUAAAGUGGGAUGAUGCUGUCAGAGCACCGUUUAUCGUCCAUCUUGACUUGACCAACUGCAGUCCUUCUCGGGAAUGUGGGAAAGAGGUUUCGGAAAAUCCCUCUGCAGCAGCACCUAAUGGGCAAAGCGAGUCAUUACAAUUCCAAAACAUCAGCUUUUGUGCUCCUGAGAUGCUGCUUGGCCUGCUGUGUUCAUCCAGCUCCACACUUUGUUAUCUCGGACUCUCCAGCAUCUGCAGUUCCCAUUAUCACUGGUACAAUUACCAGCAGUUGUUUUUCUUAGAUUCAGAAUCUGGAUGGUUUACAGAUUGCAACUACAUCUGACAAAAAAUAACACAAAUAUGUGUUCUGUAUAUUUAACUGUUACUUUUUUAUGUGAAUGAGAUUCUUCUCCAAUCAGUGAUGUGGCUGUAUUUGUCACGAGAACAUAGAACAUUACAGCGCAGUACAGGCCCUUCGGCCCUCGAUGUUGCGCCGACCUGUGAAACCAAUCUGAAGCCCAUCUAACCUACACUAUUCCAUUAUCAUCCAUAUGUUUAUCCAAUGACCAUUUAAAUGCCCUUAAUGUUGUCGACUCAAUGGAUGAAUAACUUGUAUCGUAAUUUAUUUUGUAUUUGUUUUACUGUUAUAUUUCUGAUCUCUGUUGUAGAUAGCUGUUACUUUUCUGCUUAUAGUUUUUGCUCCAAGUGGUAAUUAAAGAGAUGCUGUGCAGACAUUAGUGGGUCUACUGACUGCUGGCCACUGCAUGUACAGAGAUGCUGCAUCUGCUGACAGUAAGUCCCUGAUAUGACUUGCAGUGAAUGGAAUUGGCUGAAGACUGGGAUCAGUAAUUGUGGGAGUCUCAGGAGGAGGCUGUUGCGAGUGGUUAGGACUGUGGGUGUUUACG
This is a long non-coding RNA of Stegostoma tigrinum, 7432 nucleotides long. RefSeq lists it as uncharacterized. The transcript is spliced from 4 exons. NCBI's taxonomy places the organism in Eukaryota, Metazoa, Chordata, Chondrichthyes, Orectolobiformes, Stegostomatidae. The record is from RefSeq and is a predicted model, not a curated record.